GAUGAACGCUAGCGGCAGGCCUAAUACAUGCAAGCUGAACGGCAAGAUUUGUAGCAAUACGAGUCCUAGAGUAGCGUAAGGGUGCGUAACACGUAUGCAAUCUGCCCGCAACAGGAGGAUAGCUUAGCGAAAGUUGAGAUAAGACUCCAUAAGAUCACGAGAGGGCAUCUGAUUGUGAUUAAACUACAAGGGGUUGCGGAUGAGCAUGCGUCUGAUUAGUUAGUUGGCGGGGUAACGCCACCAAGACGAUGAUCAGUAGGGGAACUGAGAGGUUGGUCCCCCACACUGGCACUGAGAUACGGGCCAGACUCCUACGGGAGGCAGCAGUAGGGAAUAUUGGACAAUGGGUGCAAGCCUGGUCCAGCCAUGCCGCGUGCAGGAAGAAAGCCUUCUGGGUUGUAAACUGCUUUUUCUGGGAUAAAGACCGGUGCG
This 432-nucleotide ribosomal RNA is filed under the name uncultured bacterium. RNAcentral's name for it is "bacterial SSU rRNA". It matches the Rfam family "Bacterial small subunit ribosomal RNA", at positions 28 to 458 of the family's 1533-position model. The record is from RNAcentral.